CUGACGGUAGUCGUAUGCUCGUCUCCGAGACUAAGCCAUGCAAGUCCAAGUACACGUCCUUGAACGACGGAAACUGCGAACGGCUCAUUAAAUCAGUUGCGAUCUACUCGGCGUUCCGCGCCGCCGGAUAACCGUAGUAAUUCUAGGGCUAAUACGUGCGAAGCGCCCGAAGCCGCGAGGCGACGGGCGUUCUCGCCGGAUGUAGGAACCGACCCGGGGACCGCCGGGGCAACCCGGCGCCCCCGAGACGGGGCGAACCACGGUGAAAUGACGGAUCGUCGGCCCCGCGCCGGCGACUCGCCGAAUGAGUUUCUGACCUAUCAACUCGAGACGGCGGGGUAGAGGCCCGCCGCGGUAACGACGGGUAACGGGGAAUCAGGGUUCGAUUCCGGAGAGGGAGCCCGAGAAACGGCUACCACUUCCAAGGAAGGCAGCAGG
This 438-nucleotide ribosomal RNA is filed under the name uncultured eukaryote. RNAcentral's name for it is "bacterial SSU rRNA". It matches the Rfam family "Eukaryotic small subunit ribosomal RNA", at positions 14 to 432 of the family's 1831-position model. The record is from RNAcentral.